This 468-nucleotide ribosomal RNA is filed under the name uncultured bacterium. Its description in RNAcentral is "partial 16S ribosomal RNA". It matches the Rfam family "Bacterial small subunit ribosomal RNA", at positions 28 to 507 of the family's 1533-position model. The record is from RNAcentral.
GACGAACGCUGGCGGCGUGCUUAACACAUGCAAGUCGAACGGAAAGGCCCUGCUUUUGUGGGGUGCUCGAGUGGCGAACGGGUGAGUAACACGUGAGUAACCUGCCCUUGACUUUGGGAUAACUUCAGGAAACUGGGGCUAAUACCGGAUAGGAGCUCCUGCUGCAUGGUGGGGGUUGGAAAGUUUCGGCGGUUGGGGAUGGACUCGCGGCUUAUCAGCUUGUUGGUGGGGUAGUGGCUUACCAAGGCUUUGACGGGUAGCCGGCCUGAGAGGGUGAACGGCCACAUGGGGACUGAGAUACGGCCCAGACUCCUACGGGAGGCAGCAGUGGGGAAUAUUGCACAAUGGGCGGAAGCCUGAUGCAGCAACGCCGCGUGCGGGAUGACGGCCUUCGGGUGGUAAACCGCUUUCGCCUGUGACGAAGCGUGAGUGACGGUAAUGGGUAAAGAAGCACCGGCUAACUACGUG